GACGUAGGGCGCGAGCGUUGUCCGGAUUUAUUGGGCGUAAAGAGCUCGUAGGCGGCUUGUCGCGUCGUCCGUGAAAACUUGGGGCUCAACCCCAAGCUUGCGGUCGAUACGGGCAGGCUAGAGUUCGGUAGGGGAGACUGGAAUUCCUGGUGUAGCGGUGAAAUGCGCAGAUAUCGGGAAGAACACCCGUGGCGAAGGCGGCUCUCUGGGACGGUACUGACGCUGAGACGCGAAAGCGUGGGGAGCGAACAGG
Molecule: ribosomal RNA, 253 nt
Filed under: uncultured bacterium
Lineage: Bacteria
Description: partial 16S ribosomal RNA
Rfam family: Bacterial small subunit ribosomal RNA
Source: RNAcentral